Long non-coding RNA from Gasterosteus aculeatus aculeatus (three-spined stickleback), 1631 nucleotides. NCBI's taxonomy places the organism in Eukaryota, Metazoa, Chordata, Actinopteri, Perciformes, Gasterosteidae. The record is from Ensembl.
CGCACUUCAUUUUCUCUUUUAAUUGAUUGCAACACAUUUUAGAACCACACAUUACAAAAUGAACAUGAAAUAUUUUACCAGGCUCAGUUUGCAACCUUAUUGAACAGAGAAAACUACCGAAAACAUGCCUUUACAAAAUAAGACAAUUAGAAUAAAGUAAAUGCCACUUUGGAUAACCGUAAUCAAAAACCCAUUUUUUUUUUAUUCUACAUACAAAAAAGCUUGACAUAAAUAAGUUAGUAUAAUUUCUCAGUGUUUUUACAAAAUUAUGUACAUAGGUACAUUGCAAAGUUUUACACAAAUACACAGGCAUGGUGACUGCAUGAGAGUUCUCUGCAGGUGUAGACUGGUCUCUUUGAAUUGAACCCAAACUUCAGGCAAAUAAAGGGAAGCUUUUGGAUGCUCACGUUUUGCAUCCUCAGCAGGCUAACAACAUUGGUGAAACAAGUACAAACAGAAAAUGUAAAUUUAAGUCUAGGUUGUCACAAAAAGAAGUCAAUUGAGGAGCGCAGUUGGCAUCGUAGGACGUUUGACCCUUUUUACAAAAACUCUCGGGAGAGCAGUUAAGGCUGACGAGGCAAAAAGAAUAACUUCACAGAGAGGAUGACUUUACAAGACAACCUGGUGUUUGUCCUUCAAUACCCGAGUACCUCACAACUCCAAAUCAAACACGGCACCACAAAGUGGCCGAGGUGUGCGGGAGACCUCGAGAAGGAAGUUGAUCAUAUUCCAGGAGUCGACUGAUGCUGAAGGCACCCAUAUCCAAAAUAAAUACUGGGUAAGGGAACCCGAGCAGAAAUAUUACUUUUUUUUUUUUCUGCGGAAGUGACCAGAUGAGGGAAACUUUGAAAGCGACCGCCAAGCUACAUUUGUACCGUUCUUCACUGCCAAGUUAGGAAGGCGACGGAGUGAAGAUACACUGUGGAGAAACUAAGAAGUCUUGAUUUUGUUUUAAAUGUAGCAUUUAGGGACCGUGUCAAAGUCACAUUGUUUUUCAGAAGAAAAAAAACGAAAAAAAAACAGAACAGCAUUUUGGAAACAUGUAUCAAACUACACAGCAAAUUCUUCAAGUCAAAUCAAAGCUCACAACUUUUUACAUAAAGGAUUGGUGUUCAAAUAAUGUUUUUAUGUGCUACAUAUGGAAAGAAAUAUAAUAUGAAUAUUUAUUUACACACAGGUAGUAAAUAAAAAAAAAAUUUAAAAGGAGCAAAAAAGGAAAUUAAACCUAAUUGCACACUGCUACAUUGACUGCUUUUAGAGGCAGUAACUUUUUAAUUGAGUGCCACAACUUUAGUGUUUCUAUUCAGUGCUUCAACAGCGUCCUCCCCCGUCUUCAGGAGGGUUGAUAUGUUUCUGGUGCUGCGUAGUUCCUCCUCCAAAACCCACCAUCACUGAGGUUUCCCACUUGAAACGGGGAAACAGUUCUUCGGCUCUGUGGGACAAUUUGAUGAAAGAAAAAAAAAAAAAUCAAGUUAAACGAAUAACGCGAACAACGCCGCCGAGUGGGAUGCGUUAAAAACACCACGUGAUCGCAUCUUCAAAUACACGAUCAAACGGUGGAUUCACAUUGUGCAGCUGGGACAGACUUCUGUACACUGACUCCAGCAUACAAACAUCGAAUAAAGGCAGAG